GCCUAAAAUUUCAGUCUAUGGCAACAUGCCUGAUCUCGUCUGAUCUCAGAAGCUAAGCAGGGUCAGGCCUGGUUAGUAUACUUAGAUGGGGGACCACCUAGGAAUACCAGGUGCUGUAGGCA
Molecule: ribosomal RNA, 122 nt
Filed under: Pteropus alecto (black flying fox)
Lineage: Eukaryota; Metazoa; Chordata; Mammalia; Chiroptera; Pteropodidae
Source: RNAcentral